CGCAGGGGGGCGGCUACACAUGCAGUCGAGCGAGAACUUCGGUUCUAGCGGCGGACGGGUUAGUAACGCGUGGGAACGUGCCCUUCACUACGGAAUAGUCCCGGGAAACUGGGUUUAAUACCGUAUACGCCCUUCGGGGGAAAGAAUUUCGGUGAAGGAUCGGCCCGCGUUAGAUUAGAUAGUUGGUGGGGUAACGGCCUACCAAGUCUACGAUCUAUAGCUGGUUUUAGAGGAUGAUCAGCAACACUGGGACUGAGACACGGCCCAGACUCCUACGGGAGGCAGCAGUGGGGAAUCUUAGACAAUGGGCGCAAGCCUGAUCUAGCCAUGCCGCGUGAGUGAUGAAGGCCUUAGGGUCGUAAAGCUCUUUCGCCAGGGAUGAUAAUGACAGUACCUGGUAAAGAAACCCCGGCUAACUCCGUGCCAGCAGCCGCGGUAAUACGGAGGGGGUUAGCGUUGUUCGGAAUUACUGGGCGUAAAGCGCGCGUAGGCGGAUUGGAAAGUUGGGGGUGAAAUCCCAGGGCUCAACCCUGGAACUGCCUCCAAAACUAUCAGUCUAGAGUUCGAGAGAGGUGAGUGGAACUCCGAGUGUAGAGGUGAAAUUCGUAGAUAUUCGGAAGAACACCAGUGGCGAAGGCGGCUCACUGGCUCGAUACUGACGCUGAGGUGCGAAAGUGUGGGGAGCAAACAGGAUUAGAUACCCUGGUAGU
This 710-nucleotide ribosomal RNA is filed under the name Roseovarius sp. RNAcentral describes it as "bacterial SSU rRNA". It matches the Rfam family "Bacterial small subunit ribosomal RNA", at positions 34 to 794 of the family's 1533-position model. Lineage: Bacteria; Pseudomonadati; Pseudomonadota; Alphaproteobacteria; Rhodobacterales; Roseobacteraceae. The record is from RNAcentral.